AAAGAGUAUCGUCUUAAGAUGAGUCUGCGUCCGAUUAGCUAGUUGGUAGGGUAAACCUACCAAGGGACGAUCGGUAGCUGGUCUGAGAGGAUGAUCAGCCACAAUGGGACUGAGACACGGCCCCAUACUCCUACGGGAGGCAGCAGUGGGGAAUUUUGUGCAAUGGGGGAAACCCUGACACAGCGACACCGCGUGAACGAAGAAGCCCUUUGGGGUGUAAAGUUCUGUCGGCUGGAACGAAAAAAAUGACGGUACCAGCAAAGGAAGCAUCGGCUAACUACGUGCCAGCAGCCGCGGUAAGACGUAGGAUGCAAGCGUUGUCCGGAUUUAUUGGGCGUAAAGAGUUCGUAGGCGGUUCGUUAAGUCUGAUGUUAAAGACUGGGGCUCAACCCCGGGAGUGCAUUGGAUACUGGCGGACUGGAGUGUGGUAGAGGCUAGUGGAAUUCCCAGUGUAGCGGUGAAAUGCGUAGAUAUUGGGAAGAACACCAGUGGCGUAGGCGACUAGCUGGGCCAUAACUGACGCUGAGGAACGAAAGCCAGGGGAGCGAAUGGGAUUAGAUACCCCAGUAGUCCUGGCCGUAAACGAUGGAUACUAGGCGUAGUGGGUAUCGACCCCUACUGUGCCGCAGCUAACGCGAUAAGUAUCCCGCCUGAGUAGUACGGCCGCAAGGUUGAAACUCAAAGG
This 685-nucleotide ribosomal RNA is filed under the name uncultured bacterium. Its description in RNAcentral is "bacterial SSU rRNA". It matches the Rfam family "Bacterial small subunit ribosomal RNA", at positions 202 to 907 of the family's 1533-position model. The record is from RNAcentral.